Molecule: ribosomal RNA, 501 nt
Filed under: uncultured Glomeromycotina
Lineage: Eukaryota; Fungi; Glomeromycota
Description: partial small subunit ribosomal RNA
Rfam family: Eukaryotic small subunit ribosomal RNA
Source: RNAcentral
CCAAUAGCGUAUAUUAAAGUUGUUGCAGUUAAAAAGCUCGUAGUUGAAUUUCGGGAUCAGUAGGUCGGUCGUGCCACAGGUAUGCACUGAUCUCACUGGUUCCUCCUUCCUGAUGAACCGUAAUGCCAUUAAUUUGGUGUUGCGGGGAAACUGGACUGUUACUUUGAAAAAAUUAGAGUGUUUAAAGCAGGCUAACGCUUGAAUACAUUAGCAUGGAAUAAUGAAAUAGGACGUUCGAUCCUAUUUUGUUGGUUUCUAGGAUUGACGUAAUGAUUAAUAGGGAUAGUUGGGGGCAUUAGUAUUCAAUUGUCAGAGGUGAAAUUCUUGGAUUUAUUGAAGACUAACUACUGCGAAAGCAUUUGCCCAAGGAUGUUUUCAUUAAUCAAGAACGAAAGUUAGGGGAUCGAAGACGAUCAGAUACCGUCGUAGUCUUAACCAUAAACUAUGCCGACUAGGGAUCGGAUGAUGUUAAUUUUUUAAUGACUCAUUCGGCGCCUUACG